RNAcentral lists this small RNA (136 nucleotides) under uncultured Fictibacillus sp. RNAcentral's name for it is "Ribosomal protein L10 leader". It matches the Rfam family "Ribosomal protein L10 leader", at positions 12 to 133 of the family's 138-position model. From Rfam's summary of the family: This family is a putative r-protein leader autoregulatory structure found in B. subtilis and other low-GC Gram-positive bacteria. It is located in the 5' untranslated regions of mRNAs encoding ribosomal proteins L10 and L12 (rplJ-rplL). The record is from RNAcentral. Lineage: Bacteria; Bacillati; Bacillota; Bacilli; Caryophanales; Fictibacillaceae.
AUGAAUGCCGUAGACAGCAGGAGCCAACUGGCUUAAAUCUUCCUGCCGAGGUGAAGCAUCGAUAAGCUCAUUAGUUAAUUACUUAUGACUUUAGAUACUCACGCCUCCAUGUCUCGACAUGGAGGCUUUGUUUUUG